GGAGAGCUGGCCGAGCUGGCCGAAGGCGCCUGACUCGAAAUCAGGUGUACCGGUAACGGUACCGGGGGUUCGAAUCCCUCGCUCUCCG
RNAcentral lists this transfer RNA (88 nucleotides) under Anaeromyxobacter sp. RBG_16_69_14. Its description in RNAcentral is "tRNA-Ser". It matches the Rfam family "tRNA". From Rfam's summary of the family: Transfer RNA (tRNA) molecules are approximately 80 nucleotides in length. Their secondary structure includes four short double-helical elements and three loops (D, anti-codon, and T loops). The record is from RNAcentral. Lineage: Bacteria; Pseudomonadati; Myxococcota; Myxococcia; Myxococcales; Anaeromyxobacteraceae.